AGACCCGAAACCCGGUGAUCUAGCCAUGGGCAGGUUGAAGGUUGGGUAACACUAACUGGAGGACCGAACCGACUAAUGUUGAAAAAUUAGCGGAUGACCUGUGGCUGGGGGUGAAAGGCCAAUCAAACCGGGAGAUAGCUGGUUCUCCCCGAAAGCUAUUUAGGUAGCGCCUCGUGAAUUCAUCUCCGGGGGUAGAGCACUGUUUCGGCUAGGGGGCCAUCCCGGCUUACCAACCCGAUGCAAACUGCGAAUACCGGAGAAUGUUAUCACGGGAGACACACGGCGGGUGCUAACGUCCGUCGUGAAGAGGGAAACAACCCAGACCGCCAGCUAAGGUCCCAAAGUCAUGGUUAAGUGGGAAACGAUGUGGGAAGGCCCAGACAGCCAGGAUGUUGGCUUAGAAGCAGCCAUCAUUUAAAGAAAGCGUAAUAGCUCACUGGUCGAGUCGGCCUGCGCGGAAGAUGUAACGGGGCUAAACCAUGCACCGAAGCUGCGGCAGCGACACUGUGUGUUGUUGGGUAGGGGAGCGUUCUGUAAGCCUGCGAAGGUGGCCUG
This 555-nucleotide ribosomal RNA is filed under the name Salmonella enterica subsp. enterica serovar Enteritidis. RNAcentral describes it as "partial 23S ribosomal RNA". It matches the Rfam family "Bacterial large subunit ribosomal RNA", at positions 711 to 1263 of the family's 2925-position model. RNAcentral also lists the same sequence under 1 other name. Lineage: Bacteria; Pseudomonadati; Pseudomonadota; Gammaproteobacteria; Enterobacterales; Enterobacteriaceae. The record is from RNAcentral.